CACUCCUGUGAUCUAGUGGUUAGAGCAUCCACUUCGGAUGCGGGAGGUCAUGGGUUCAAUCCCCAGCUGAGUCA
Molecule: non-coding RNA, 74 nt
Organism: Potamilus streckersoni
Lineage: Eukaryota; Metazoa; Mollusca; Bivalvia; Unionida; Unionidae
Source: the annotation of a GenBank genome assembly